GUUUUGUGCCAUAACACCCUGAAUGUGCCCAAUCUUGUCUGAUUUUGGAAGCUAACCAGGGUUGGGCCUGGUUAGUACUUGGAAGAGAGAAUGUCCCAUAACUCAGUGCUACAUGAAACU
RNAcentral lists this ribosomal RNA (120 nucleotides) under Microcebus murinus (gray mouse lemur). The record is from RNAcentral. Lineage: Eukaryota; Metazoa; Chordata; Mammalia; Primates; Cheirogaleidae.